CCUGGUUGAUCCUGCCAGUGGUCAUAUGCUUGUCUCAAAGAUUAAGCCAUGCAUGUUUAAGCAGAAGCCGCACAACGGUAAAGCCGCGAAUGGCUCAUUACAACAGCCGUCGUUUCUUGGAUCUCUAAUUUUACUUGGAUAACUGUGGUAAUUCUAGAGCUAAUACACGCACUAAAGCUCUGACCUUACGGAACGAGCGCAUUUAUUAGAACAAAACCAAUCGGGUUUCGGCCCGUUCGUUGGUGACUCUGAAUAACUCUGCCGAUCGCACGGUCUCGCACCGGCGACGUAUCUUUCAAGUGUCUGCCUUAUCAACUUUCGAUGGUAGUUUAUGUGCCUACCAUGGUUGUAACGGGUAACGGAGAAUAAGGGUUCGACUCCGGAGAGGGAGCCUGAGAAACGGCUACCACAUCCAAGGAAGGCAGCAGGCGCGCAAAUUACCCACUCUCGGCACGAGGAGGUAGUGACGAAAAUAACGAGACGGAUCUCUUUGAGGCCCGUUAUCGGAAUGAGAACAAUUCAAAUCCUUUAACGAGGAUCUAGCGGAGGGCAAGUCUGGUGCCAGCAGCCGCGGUAAUUCCAGCUCCGCAGGUGUAUAUCUAUGCUGCUGCGGUUAAAAAGCUCGUAGAUGGAUCUGCGUGCUCGGAACUGGUUGGCUCACUGAGUUCAAACUGGUCUCCGGCGCUUUAUUGGCUGGUUUUCCCUUGAUGCUCUUAACCGGGUGUCUUGGGUGGCUAGCACGUUUACUUUGAAAAAAUUAGAGUGCUCAAUACAGGCGUAAAGCCUUGAAUAGUGGUGCAUGGAAUAAUAGAAUAGGACCUCGGCUCUAUUUUGUUGGUUUUCGGAACGCGAGGUAAUGAUAAGAGGGACAGACGGGGGCAUUCGUAUUGCGACGUUAGAGGUGAAAUUCUUGGAUCGUCGCAAGACGGACGACUGCGAAAGCAUUUGCCAAGAAUGUUUUCAUUAAUCAAGAACGAAAGUUAGAGGUUCGAAGGCGAUCAGAUACCGCCCUAGUUCUAACCGUAAACGAUGCCAACUAGCGAUUCGCAGGCGUUAAACAACGACCUUGCGGGCAGCUUCCCGGAAACGAAAGUGUUCGGGUUCCGGGGGAAGUAUGGUUGCAAAGCUGAAACUUAAAGGAAUUGACGGAAGGGCACCACCAGGAGUGGAUCCUGCGGCUUAAUUUGACACAACACGGGAAAACUCACCCGGCCCGGACACCGUAAGGAUUGACAGAUUGAGAGCUCUUUCUUGAUUCGGUGGGUGGUGGUGCAUGGCCGUUCUUAGUUGGUGGAGCGAUUUGUCUGGUUUAUUCCGAUAAC
RNAcentral lists this ribosomal RNA (1322 nucleotides) under metagenome. Its description in RNAcentral is "SSU rRNA". It matches the Rfam family "Eukaryotic small subunit ribosomal RNA", at positions 3 to 1332 of the family's 1831-position model. The record is from RNAcentral.